This 492-nucleotide ribosomal RNA is filed under the name uncultured bacterium. Its description in RNAcentral is "partial 16S ribosomal RNA". It matches the Rfam family "Bacterial small subunit ribosomal RNA", at positions 29 to 507 of the family's 1533-position model. The record is from RNAcentral.
AGUGAACGCUGGCGGUAGGCCUAACACAUGCCAGUCGAACGGCAGCACAGUAAGAGCUUGCUAUUACGGGUGGCGAGUGGCGGACGGGUGAGGAAUACAUCGGAAUCUACUUUUUCGUGGGGGAUAACGUAGGGAAACUUACGCUAAUACAGCAUACGACCUACGGGUGAAAGCAGGGGAACUUCGGACCUUGCGCGCUUGAUUGAGCCGAUGUCGGAUUAGCUAGUUGGCGGGGUAAAGGCCCACCAAGGCAACGAUCCGUAGCUGGUCGGAGGGGAUGGUGAGCCAAACUGGAACUGAGACACGGUCCAGACUCUUACGGGAGGAGCCGUAGGGGAACAUUGGACAAUGGCGGAAAGCUUGCGCCAGACAUACCGGGUGGGGGAAGAAGGCUUUCGGUUUGUAAGGCCCUUUUUUUGGGAAAGAAAAGCAGCAGGUUAAUACCCCGCUGUUCUGACGGUACCCAAAGAAUAAGCACCGGCUAACUUCGUG